AUUGAACGCUGGCGGCAGGCCUAACACAUGCAAGUCGAGCGGCAGCGGGAAAGUAGCUUGCUACUUUUGCCGGCGAGCGGCGGACGGGUGAGUAAUGCCUGGGAAAUUGCCCAGUCGAGGGGGAUAACAGUUGGAAACGACUGCUAAUACCGCAUACGCCCUACGGGGGAAAGCAGGGGACCUCCGGGCCUUGCGCGCUUGGAUAUGCCAAGGUGGGAUUAGCUAGUUGGUGAGGUAAUGGCUCACCAAGGCGACGAUCCCUAGCUGGUCUGAGAGGAUGAUCAGCCACACUGGAACUGAGACACGGUCCAGACUCCUACGGGAGGCAGCAGUGGGGAAUAUUGCACAAUGGGGGAAACCCUGAUGCAGCCAUGCCGCGUGUGUGAAGAAGGCCUUCGGGUUGUAAAGCACUUUCAGCGAGGAGGAAAGGUUGAUGCCUAAUACGUAUCAACUGUGACGUUACUCGCAGAAGAAGCACCGGCUAACUCCGUGCCAGCAGCCGCGGUAA
RNAcentral lists this ribosomal RNA (508 nucleotides) under uncultured bacterium. RNAcentral describes it as "partial 16S ribosomal RNA". It matches the Rfam family "Bacterial small subunit ribosomal RNA", at positions 30 to 523 of the family's 1533-position model. The record is from RNAcentral.